AAAAGACUGCAAGAGUGAAGGAUGUCUUUUGCCAUAUUUUUACAAAUGGAUUACACUUGCUUUACAAAGUACUAGAAAGAUCCCUGUAAAAAUAGUACUACAAGAUUUGUAACACAAGAUCGCACAGAAGUUGUACUGAUCUACACAGGAAGUUUUGCUACUUGUAAGAAAAUAAAAAUGAACUCUAACUUGGAGAAUCAACAUAUGUUUCUUUCCGUUGAUUACAUUCAGUUCAUGUAUGUACAGAAGAAACAAAAUUGCAACUCCACCAUUGAAUAGUCCAUGGCUGAAUAGCCGAACUUCACAGAAUGCCAUUUUUUAAACUUAGCCGAGGAAUCAUUUUCUCAAAUUCACGUUUGAACUCCAUUUGGAAAAUUUCAAGCUCCUCUCUGGGAGGUGUUGGCUGAUUUCCUCAGGGUGAUGAGCUUCCGAAGAUAGUGUGCAAUCACUCGAUGACAAAUGCGAUGAAUAGUGUGUAUCCUGCAAGGAGCAAUAAGCUGUUAGAAAUGUUUAGCUUUGAACUUGAAUAAAAUAUAGGAUUGCACUAGCUUUGACAUUCUGACAAUAGUGAGGGCUCAAAUGCCAAGUAAUGUUCAGUAACUGAAAAGGCAUCAUUUUUCUGACAUUCGGUUCUGAAACUAUGUGGACCUAAGUAAUUAUUGGCAGUCAAGAAAUGUACAAGUUGCAUAUAUUUCUGCCUAGUAAAUUAUGCUACCAAGCCUACCAAGUCAGAAUAAUUUUCUUAAGAAUAAUUUGGUCAGGAUCCAAACUUUUUCAGUGAACAUGCAGCACAAAUUGCAUGUUGCUCCCAUCUCUGUUCUCCAAAACAAUCAGAGGUACGGAUGAAAAAGGAAACAUGUAACAAAUAAUUUUCAUUUCCAUAAACAAAAACAAUCAGGCAAAGACAUCAAAAUUAGCAUACACACCAAAAUUAGUGCAGUUUCAACAUGUACACUAAAACAUGCAGGUUUUAGACUUAGAAGUGCCAUUGGAGGUUUCAGGAGAUUCAUCUAGAGUAGCACAUGUACUUCUUCAACUAGAAAAAUUAUUUAUAUAGGAAAAGAAACUUAUUCAAACAAACUGGAUGAGCUAGGAACAUAAUACUUGUCUUUCAGGCAUAAAUACAAACACUCAUGGGCAGAAAUGCUAUUAACUUUUUCGCUCCCCUGCAUUAAUAUUUGUACACAAAGACUUAUAGUCCUGUCAGGAGCAUUUGUACUCUUUGAAUCUUUUUUUGUUCUCUGUAUUUUCAUGUGGUUUCUUAUAUGAACCUUUUCAAAAUAUGAAUUCCUCGUGAUGAUAUCUGCGAACCUUCUUAGACGAUGAUGUUGAACUUGCGCUCGAUUGCAUAUGUACUUGAAGGAUUUUUUACUAAACACCACAAUCAUCUACUUGUGUUCAUCAUUUACUGCUAUGACUAGUUGGAAAGACAACAGACCAAUCGAGUGGCAUGAGUUACGGUGGCCCAUUACACAUAAAAUUGAACUUCUUUUUCUACCAAGAGGGUUGGGGCUAGCAGUUGUCUUUGUUUUGAAUUUAUCUGGUAGCAGUAUAUUAUUUCAGUCAGCUCAAUCUUCAUCAGUACUAGAAUGACUAGACAAGAAGUUUAGAUUUGUAGCAGCACACGCACCAAAAUUACAUAAUUUUUCUUCAACUUUUUUAGGUGAUUGCAUUAGUACUAGUAUGAUUGGAAAAAUAUUUCAGAUUUGUAGCAACACACACAUGAAAACUUAUAGAACUUUAUGGGAAUGGAUGAGUUCUGAUUUUUUUUGAACUCCUCCAAUGGUUGCACAUGAACUGAGCAAUAUAGCGACUAACUGUACAUCAUUUUGAUCUGAAAAGCUACUUGACUGAAAAUUCACAUACACAUCCAAAAGUUCAAAACUACAAGACCUGCCCUAUGUUUUUCUGCUACUACAUUAUCAAAAAAAUUAUUCAAAAUGUCUCUACUUUAAGCCUCAAUCUUCCUUCAACUGUAAUUUUCAUUUUGCCCAACAUACCUCCAAUAAUUUUCAUUUCCGUAAACAAAAACAAUCAGGCAAACACAAGUAGCAUACCUGGAGUUCCCACCGCGGCCAGAAGCAGAGAUCCAUUUGCUGUGCUCUCGACAAGAAGUCCCCUAUUUUGAUAAGAAAAAAAGAGAUCAAGGCUUCGGUAUGGAUAAAUAAAUUGGUAGCAAUGUACAGUCAACAUCUUUUUGUUUUCAAUUUUUUUCCUGAACUUAUUAAGUUUCUAUGUAUGAACGUACAAACUUUCUAAGCAUGAACUUUUUGCUAGCGUUUGGUUUUUGGUAUUACAAACUAUUUUUUGCAUUACAACAAACACCUUUAAAAGAUAGCACAAUGGCACAUGGAUUCAAAAUGAACUCAAAAAGAACAAUUCAGUAGUAACAUUCCUGGAGACAUUGCAAGUUCUGAGGCGGUAGUGCGCGGUAUCAUAGGGAUAUCUUAUUCAUUGCAGAGUGACAAACAUUAUAUCGCUUUUGUACAAAGUUACUGCAAAAGACAUUAGCGGGCCAGAGAAUGAUCAUACCUGCAAGAUGAAGCUGAAAAUGCACAUUUAAGGUGAACUAAAAAACCACCAGAUGUUGAACUGAAUGUACACAAGAGAAGGAGCAUGNNN
This 2622-nucleotide long non-coding RNA is filed under the name Triticum aestivum (bread wheat). Its description in RNAcentral is "long non-coding RNA (TAES_LNC003228)". Lineage: Eukaryota; Viridiplantae; Streptophyta; Magnoliopsida; Poales; Poaceae. The record is from RNAcentral.